UUGACCUCAGAUCAGGUAGGAAUACCCGCUGAACUUA
Molecule: ribosomal RNA, 37 nt
Filed under: Clonostachys rosea
Lineage: Eukaryota; Fungi; Ascomycota; Sordariomycetes; Hypocreales; Bionectriaceae
Also listed under: 1 other name
Description: partial 28S ribosomal RNA
Source: RNAcentral